RNAcentral lists this small nucleolar RNA (88 nucleotides) under Castor canadensis (American beaver). RNAcentral describes it as "Small nucleolar RNA SNORA42/SNORA80 family (ENSCCNG00000011610.1)". Lineage: Eukaryota; Metazoa; Chordata; Mammalia; Rodentia; Castoridae. The record is from RNAcentral.
GCGCCACCAUGCCAGAGCAAACUGUGGCUCCAAACCAUUGUCUGGCCUCUGCCUAUAGACUGCUGGUACUGAAGGGAGUUUCACAGUU